AGAAUCAACGCUGGCGGCGUGCCUAACACAUGCAAGUCGAACGAGAAAGUGGAGCAAUCCAUUAGUAAAGUGGCGCACGGGUGAGUAACACGUGACUAACCUACCCUUGAGUGGGGGAUAACCUAGAGAAAUCUGGGCUAAUACCGCAUAAUACCUUCGGGUCAAAGGAGCAAUUCGCUUAAGGAGGGGCCGCGGCCGAUUAGUUAGUUGGCGGGGUAAUGGCCCACCAAGACUAUGAUCGGUA
Molecule: ribosomal RNA, 244 nt
Filed under: uncultured bacterium
Lineage: Bacteria
Description: partial small subunit ribosomal RNA
Rfam family: Bacterial small subunit ribosomal RNA
Source: RNAcentral